RNAcentral lists this transfer RNA (72 nucleotides) under Camelus bactrianus (Bactrian camel). It matches the Rfam family "tRNA". Rfam says of the family: Transfer RNA (tRNA) molecules are approximately 80 nucleotides in length. Lineage: Eukaryota; Metazoa; Chordata; Mammalia; Artiodactyla; Camelidae. The record is from Rfam by way of RNAcentral. RNAcentral also lists the same sequence under 2 other names.
GAGGGUAUAGCUCAGUGGUAGAGUGCUUGCUUAGCAUGCACAAAGUCCUGGGUUCAAUCUCCAGUACCUCCU